GUCCCUGUAGCGCAAUGGAUAGCGUGUUGGACUUCUAUUCCAAAGGUCGUGGGUUCGAAUCCCACCUGAGAUG
This 73-nucleotide transfer RNA is filed under the name Trichonephila clavata. It matches the Rfam family "tRNA". From Rfam's summary of the family: Transfer RNA (tRNA) molecules are approximately 80 nucleotides in length. Lineage: Eukaryota; Metazoa; Arthropoda; Arachnida; Araneae; Nephilidae. The record is from Rfam by way of RNAcentral.